This 440-nucleotide ribosomal RNA is filed under the name uncultured bacterium. RNAcentral describes it as "partial 16S ribosomal RNA". It matches the Rfam family "Bacterial small subunit ribosomal RNA", at positions 338 to 795 of the family's 1533-position model. The record is from RNAcentral.
CCUACGGGAGGCAGCAGUGGGGAAUAUUGCACAAUGGGGGAAACCCUGAUGCAGCGACGCCGCGUGAGCGAAGACGUAUUUCUGUGUGUAAAGCUCUAUCAGCAGGGGAGAAAAUUACGGUACCUGAGUAAUAAGCUCCGGCUAAAUACGUUCCAGCAGCCGCGGUUAUACGUAGGGAGCAAGCGUUAUCCGGAUUUAGUGGGUGUAAAGGGAGCGCAGGCGGCCUUGCAAGUCUGAUGUGAAAUACCGGGGCUCAACCCCGGAGCUGCAUUGGAAACUGUGAGGCUGGAGUGUCGGAGAGGUAGGCGGAAUUCGUGGUGUAGCGGUGAAAUGCGUAGAUAUUAGGAGGAACACCAGUGGCGAAGGCGGCCUGCUGGACGAUGACUGACGCUGAGGCUCGAAAGCGUGGGGAGCGAACAGGAUUAGAUACCCCAGUAGUC